Strongylocentrotus purpuratus (purple sea urchin) is the source of this 352-nucleotide long non-coding RNA. RefSeq lists it as uncharacterized. The record is from RefSeq and is a predicted model, not a curated record. Lineage: Eukaryota; Metazoa; Echinodermata; Echinoidea; Camarodonta; Strongylocentrotidae. The transcript has 4 exons.
UUCAGGAGCUCAUCCCACCCGCAACAAGCUGCCUUCAGAACUCUCUCACCAGAUUGAAUAGCCUUUCACAUAUUGCAGGCUGCUUCCCAAGCUAAACUAGUCAAGAUGAUGAUCAAAGUAGCUCUUGUGCUCUGUGCUAUUGUGGCAACCAGUAUGGUGUGCGCCAAGGAUGUUGAAGAGCAAGAUGCAGUGGACACCUUGCUGAAUCUGAUGCUCUCGGAGGAGGCUGCAUCUCCUGAUGACGCCGUAGCCUUGCAGCGCCAUCACCGUCAUCACCAUCAUGGCCAUCAUGGAAGGGACCAUGAGGCAACAUCCGAAUGUUGAUUCUUCCUGAAGAAAAAAUGAAAUAAAA